Oryzias melastigma (Indian medaka) is the source of this 205-nucleotide long non-coding RNA. RefSeq lists it as uncharacterized. The transcript is spliced from 2 exons. Lineage: Eukaryota; Metazoa; Chordata; Actinopteri; Beloniformes; Adrianichthyidae. The record is from RefSeq and is a predicted model, not a curated record.
AGCAAUGCAAUGGAGACGCACCCCAAACGACCCAGUGGAAAUCAGCCUUUGUUGACCAAAUGCUGCAUAAAAUGGUUCUGCACAAGAUCGCAUACAAAAGGUGCAGCAGAAGCACGCCCUUCUCACUUGAACAGCACUAAUAGACCCCUUGUGCAGUAUGCAGGGUUUUGGGGCAGUUCAAUAAGUAAAUAAAACGUACCAUGUG